CACACAUCAUAUAUAUAUACAUCAAAGUUUGUUUCUGUCCUCUAAUAACCCUCUUUAGUAAGUUUGAGCUUACUAAUCUCUGUUAGCACUCGGAACUCUGGCCUGGAUAAUUGACUUUCAUCAUCAUGAUAUUUGCCUUCACGUGGAAUGACAUGCUUCAUGAUGAACGAGCAGAUGUCCUCAACUAUGUUGUCUAAAGCACGUUCAUCCAUGCGCUCCGCCGUCCCUUGCUUAUAUACCUGCA
Molecule: long non-coding RNA, 244 nt
Filed under: Sorghum bicolor (sorghum)
Lineage: Eukaryota; Viridiplantae; Streptophyta; Magnoliopsida; Poales; Poaceae
Description: long non-coding RNA (SBIC_LNC014070)
Source: RNAcentral